UACGUAGGGGGCAAGCGUUGUCCGGAUUUAUUGGGCGUAAAGAGCGUGUAGGCGGUUCGGUAGGUCCGUUGUGAAAACUCGAGGCUCAACCUCGAGACGCCGAUGGAAACCAUCGAACUAGAGUCCGGAAGAGGAGAGUGGAAUUCCUAGUGUAGCGGUGAAAUGCGCAGAUAUCAGGAAGAACACCCGUGGCUAAGGCGGCUCUCUAGUACGGUACUGACGCUGAGACGCGAAAGCGUGGGGAGCGAACAGG
RNAcentral lists this ribosomal RNA (253 nucleotides) under uncultured bacterium. RNAcentral's name for it is "partial 16S ribosomal RNA". It matches the Rfam family "Bacterial small subunit ribosomal RNA", at positions 524 to 776 of the family's 1533-position model. The record is from RNAcentral.